Molecule: long non-coding RNA, 1728 nt
Filed under: Rattus norvegicus (Norway rat)
Lineage: Eukaryota; Metazoa; Chordata; Mammalia; Rodentia; Muridae
Description: long non-coding RNA NONRATT020678
Source: RNAcentral
ACUGGGCAUGGUAGGUACCUCAUGACUGUAAUUCUAGCACUUGGGAAGCUGAGGCAGGAAGAUUGCCACAAGUUAGAGACUAGCCGGGGCUUUGUACUGAAUUCCAGGUCACCAAAUCUCAAUACCCUCAUCUCCCAGCCAAAAAUGGCAUCGGUCCUUGUGUUUCUCUGGCAGCAGGGGAAGAGAAUCUUCAGAGGUCCAGCCCCUGGGAAUUCUGCCUGGGUACCAUUGUUUAAUCAGGAGCCCAAACCUAAGUUUGCCUGUUUUUUCCUCCAGCCCUUUCCAUCCCAUUUCUACUGCCUCUUUGUGGGUACAGGCCUGCCCUGGAAGUAAAGUGAGAAUGGAAAGAGCUGGUCCAUCGUCCUUGCAAAUCUCUUAAGUGGUCUGUUCCUUUCGGGCGUUAAAGUAGAGCAGACAGGUGCCUGGCUGGCUGCGCAUUCAGAAGUGUGUUUUUAUGUCUGGACGGCUCUGACUCAUGCCUAGUGUUUUUCAUGCCCUUCAUUCUUAUUGCCUUAAAAUAAGCCCUGACUCCAUGGGGGCGUCCACUGAGGAAAGAGUCGGCACCAGACCCGGGUGCACUCUCACUGCUGCCCUCAGACACUUCCUCCACCUGCCUGGGGAGGUGUGGAGAGCUGUGUACCACUCUAAAAUUAGUGCUGUAAAAAUUGCUAGAAGCUAGGCACGGUAGCAUACUACUGCAAUCAGGUGGUACAGGAGGAAGGAAUCCAAGGGCAGGCUAGACUACACGACACACUGUCCCAGAAAAGAAAAGAAGAAUUACUGAAAGUCCAUCCAGGACUAAAGCCUGAGUGCCAGGCUGUGCUUGCAGUCAAUUAGUUGUGAUAGCCUUUAAAUUUGAAAGUCAGGGUUUGGGUGCAGAACUCAGCAGAAGAAGAUAGACUUAGCACACACAGUAUCGUCAGCACACAGAAGCAAUACAGUGGAAUCUAGAAGUCCUGAUGGUAACAUAGGAAUGGCUACUCUUUGUGAUGCCAGGCACCUUUAACCCCAGAAUUUGUGAGGCAAAGGGCAGGUGGAUCUCAAGUUUGAGGCCAGCCUGUCCACAUUAGUUCCAGGCCAGCCAGUGAGUGAAACCCUGUCUUUAGGGAGGGAAAGGGGCUAUUUUUCACUACUUUUUCUUCUUAGCAUUCUCCACCUGUUUAAAUAACAGGCAGUGUGUUGGGUCCCGUAGCAGUGCUGUCUGGGGACUCUACCCCACCAGAAAGCUGCCUUUCACGUCGGUAAAGGCUAAAUAUUUUCUCUAGGAAUUUGCUUUCUCGCAGAUAUUAUUGUUUAAUUUCCUGUAUAAUCGUGGAUAUAAAAUUGUCUUUCUAUUAAAUAAGUGGUUUGACUAAUGCACAUGGAACUUUGCAGCCAAACCUCUCACACUUAUUGUCAGAUGAAGUCCUCCAAGGUACAUGCAGAAAGGAUGGGGAUGUUCAGAGAGCCCUUACUUGAUGUCACAGCUCCUCCCAGGUUGCAGCACAUACCUGUAGUCCAGCUGCUUAGGAGGCUGGGCAGAGGACAGCUUGAGCCCAGGAUCUCAUGGCCAGCCUAGGCAACACAGAAGGACCCGUCUCUUGAUGAGAAACUUCAAAUGCAAGGUCAACAUCGCCUCGGUAACAGCGCUGCAAACUGUUCUUCCUUUGAUUACUGGAUUGCUCCAUCUAAUCAGUCAUUUUAACUCAAGAGGUCCAAAUUAGAAUAAAAUCAUGGAUUCUUUAUCUU